UGAAUACGAGACGCUAAGGCGUCGAAGUAGUGUAUGUCAUACUUCCAAGAAAAGCUUGCACUGUCAUAGAUAAAAAACGCCUGUACCAUAACCGACACAGGUGGGUAGGUAGAGUAUACUAAGGGGCGCGAGAUAACUCUCUCUAAGGAACUCGGCAAAAUAACUCCGUAACUUCGGGAGAAGGAGUGCCUUAUUUUUAAGGCUGCAAUAACAAGAUCCAAGCAACUGUUUAUCAAAAACACAGGUCUCCGCUAAGUCGUAAGACGAUGUAUGGGGGCUGACGCCUGCCCAGUGCCAGAAGGUUAAAGAAGUUGGUUAGCAUUUGCGAAGCUGAUAACUGAAGCCCUGGUGAACGGCGGCCGUAACGAUAACGGUCCUAAGGUAGCGAAAUUCCUUGUCGGGUAAGUUCCGACCCGCACGAAAGGCGUAAUGAUUUGGAUACUGUCUCGGAGAGGGGCUCGGUGAAAUAGACUUGUCUGUGAAGAUGCGGACUACCUGCACCAGGACAGAAAGACCCUAUGAAGCUUUACUGUAACUUGAAAUUGAAAUUGGACUUUAUUCGCGCAGUAUAGGUGGGAGGCGUUGAUUAUAAUCUCGCGGGAUUAUUGGAGCCAUCAGUGAGAUACCACUCUUGUAAUGUUAGAUUUCUAACUUUGUAUCAUUAUCUGGUCAAAGAACAGUUUCAGGCGGGCAGUUUGACUGGGGCGGUCGCCUCCUAAACGGUAACGGAGGCGUACAAAGGUUUCCUCUGAACGGUUAGAAAUCGUAUCUAGAGUGUAAAGGCAUAAGGAAGCUUGACUGUGAGACCUACAAGUCGAGCAGGGACGAAAGUCGGUCUUAGUGAUCUGACGGUACUGAGUGGAAAGGCCGUCACUCAACGGAUAAAAGUUACUCUAAGGAUAACAGGCUGAUCUCCCCCAAGAGUUCACAUCGACCGGGAGGUUUGGCACCUCGAUGUCGGCUCAUCGCAUCCUGGGGCGGUAGUACGUCCCAAGGGUUGGGCUGUUCGCCCAUGAAAGCGGUACGCGAGCUGGGUUCAGAACGUCGUGAGACAGUUCGGUCCAUAUCCGGUGUAGGCGUUAGAAUAUUGAGAGGAGCCUUCUUUAGUACGAGAGGACCGAGAAGGACAUACCUCUGGUGUACCAGUUAUCGUGCCAACGGUAAACGCUGGGUAGCUAUGUAUGGAGUGGAUAACCGCUGAAAGCAUCUAAGUGGGAAGCCCACCUCAAGAUAAGUAUUCUCA
This 1243-nucleotide ribosomal RNA is filed under the name metagenome. RNAcentral's name for it is "bacterial LSU rRNA". It matches the Rfam family "Bacterial large subunit ribosomal RNA", at positions 1564 to 2816 of the family's 2925-position model. The record is from RNAcentral.